CACUGAGAUUCAGCCCUUUGUCGC
Molecule: non-coding RNA, 24 nt
Filed under: Arabidopsis thaliana (thale cress)
Lineage: Eukaryota; Viridiplantae; Streptophyta; Magnoliopsida; Brassicales; Brassicaceae
Source: RNAcentral